RNAcentral lists this ribosomal RNA (453 nucleotides) under uncultured bacterium. RNAcentral's name for it is "partial 16S ribosomal RNA". It matches the Rfam family "Bacterial small subunit ribosomal RNA", at positions 355 to 799 of the family's 1533-position model. The record is from RNAcentral.
UAGGGAAUCUUCCACAAUGGACGAAAGUCUGAUGGAGCAACGCCGCGUGAGUGAUGAAGGGUUUCGGCUCGUAAAACUCUGUUGUUGGAGAAGAACGGGUGUCAGAGUAACUGUUGACAUCGUGACGGUAUCCAACCAGAAAGCCACGGCUAACUACGUGCCAGCAGCCGCGGUAAUACGUAGGUGGCAAGCGUUGUCCGGAUUUAUUGGGCGUAAAGCGAGCGCAGGCGGUUUUUUAGGUCUGAUGUGAAAGCCUUCGGCUUAACCGGAGAAGUGCAUCGGAAACCGGGAGACUUGAGUGCAGAAGAGGACAGUGGAACUCCAUGUGUAGCGGUGAAAUGCGUAGAUAUAUGGAAGAACACCAGUGGCGAAGGCGGCUGUCUGGUCUGCAACUGACGCUGAGGCUCGAAAGCAUGGGUAGCGAACAGGAUUAGAUAUCCUGGGUAGUCCAUG